UCUGCCCUUAUGGGCAUUGCAGGUAUGGCUGUGGGAGGUGGCAGAGAGGAAAGAGGCUAUGUCUAGCUUCAGUGUUCUAACCUGUGAACAAAUGCAUGGUUAAUAGCCUAACAGU
RNAcentral lists this small nucleolar RNA (115 nucleotides) under Mus pahari (shrew mouse). RNAcentral's name for it is "predicted gene, 25770 (MGP_PahariEiJ_G0034935.1)". It matches the Rfam family "Small nucleolar RNA SNORA17". Rfam says of the family: snoRNA ACA 17 belongs to the H/ACA family of snoRNAs and is predicted to guide pseudouridylation of the 28S rRNA at positions U4659 and U4598. It shares the same host gene together with ACA43. NB This family has a high threshold value to exclude a large number of closely related sequences that do not appear to have conserved H and ACA boxes, and may be pseudogenes. The record is from RNAcentral. Lineage: Eukaryota; Metazoa; Chordata; Mammalia; Rodentia; Muridae.